UACGAAGGGGGCUAGCGUUGUUCGGAAUUACUGGGCGUAAAGCGUACGCAGGCGGCGCAUUAAGUCAGGGGUGAAAGGCCUGGGCUCAACCCAGGAACUGCCUUUGAGACUGAUGCGCUCGAGUCCGGAAGAGGGUAGUGGAAUUCCCAGUGUAGAGGUGAAAUUCGUAGAUAUUGGGAAGAACACCGGUGGCGAAGGCGGCUACCUGGUCCGGUACUGACGCUCAAGUACGAAAGCGUGGGGAGCAAACAGG
RNAcentral lists this ribosomal RNA (253 nucleotides) under uncultured bacterium. Its description in RNAcentral is "partial 16S ribosomal RNA". It matches the Rfam family "Bacterial small subunit ribosomal RNA", at positions 524 to 776 of the family's 1533-position model. The record is from RNAcentral.